This 301-nucleotide ribosomal RNA is filed under the name uncultured bacterium. Its description in RNAcentral is "partial 16S ribosomal RNA". It matches the Rfam family "Bacterial small subunit ribosomal RNA", at positions 509 to 807 of the family's 1533-position model. The record is from RNAcentral.
CAGCAGCCGCGGUAAAACGAAGGGGGCUAGCGUUGUUCGGAAUUACUGGGCGUAAAGGGCGCGUAGGCGGCCAUUCAAGUUAGAUGUGAAAGCCCUGGGCUCAACCUAGGAAUUGCAUUUGAUACUGUUUGGCUUGAGUUCGGGAGAGGUGAGUGGAAUUCCCAGUGUAGAGGUGAAAUUCGUAGAUAUUGGGAAGAACACCAGUGGCGAAGGCGGCUCACUGGACCGACACUGACGCUGAGGAGCGAAAGCGUGGGGAGCGAACAGGAUUAGAUACCCGUGUAGUCCCUGUCUCUUAUAC